Molecule: long non-coding RNA, 272 nt
Filed under: Ananas comosus (pineapple)
Lineage: Eukaryota; Viridiplantae; Streptophyta; Magnoliopsida; Poales; Bromeliaceae
Description: long non-coding RNA (ACOM_LNC012816)
Source: RNAcentral
UACUAUAUAUAUAUAUAUAUAUCUUGCGUUGAGCUAGAAUACUCUCAAAAACACUAAGAGAGUGAUACUUUUGAGUUUUUAGCCCUUAGAUAGAUAGAUGUAAGGUUGGAAUGAUGGUGGUAGGUGGUGCUAGAUGGUGGUAGGUAGAAUAGUGUUUAAUCCACCGGCUAUUAGUAAUUAAGGAAUAGAUCAAAGGGCUAAAAAUUCAGAAGCACCAAGGAGUUAGUGCUUCUAAAAAUAUUCUAACUGAAUUCUAUAUAUAUUUAUAUAUA